Non-coding RNA from Salmo salar (Atlantic salmon), 54 nucleotides. The record is from Rfam. Lineage: Eukaryota; Metazoa; Chordata; Actinopteri; Salmoniformes; Salmonidae.
UGCAUUCACUACUGUAAGUCGCUCUUGAUAAGAGCGUCUGCUAAAUGACUAAAA